Long non-coding RNA from Nymphalis io (European peacock), 386 nucleotides. RefSeq lists it as uncharacterized. Lineage: Eukaryota; Metazoa; Arthropoda; Insecta; Lepidoptera; Nymphalidae. The record is from RefSeq and is a predicted model, not a curated record. The transcript has 2 exons.
UUGUUUUUUUACCGUAAUUAGUUGUAUAUAAAUAACGUGCGAGAAUAAUUAAUAUCAUUGCUGUUUGAAAUCACUAGCUAUAACCAUGACUUACGCGUUUGCAUUUGUGACUGUGCUUAUUGUGUCUUUUGUUGUUGCGGUGCCAGUGGAUAAAGACACUCCUCUAAGUUGUCCAGAGAAUGAAAAAUAUUACAAAUGUUCCCUUGAAGUAUGUUACAAAACAUGUGAACAUUUGAAAAAUCCACCCCCGUGUCCAAGUAUCUCUAGUGAUUGCUUUUUACCAUCCUGCGAGUGUAAGCGCGAUUACUUGAGGAACAGCGAUGGCAUCUGUGUACCAUAUGUAGAUUGUUAAAUAUCAAUUUAAAUUAAAUGAACAUUUAAGAUUA